RNAcentral lists this ribosomal RNA (697 nucleotides) under uncultured Escherichia sp. RNAcentral describes it as "bacterial SSU rRNA". It matches the Rfam family "Bacterial small subunit ribosomal RNA", at positions 58 to 744 of the family's 1533-position model. Lineage: Bacteria; Pseudomonadati; Pseudomonadota; Gammaproteobacteria; Enterobacterales; Enterobacteriaceae. The record is from RNAcentral.
CAAGUCGAAUGGUAACAGGAAACAGCUUGCUGUUUCGCUGACGAGUGGCGGACGGGUGAGUAAUGUCUGGAAAACUGCCUGAUGGAGGGGGAUAACUACUGGAAACGGUAGCUAAUACCGCAUAACGUCGCAAGACCAAAGAGGGGGACCUUCGGGCCUCUUGCCAUCAGAUGUGCCCAGAUGGGAUUAGCUAGUAGGUGGGGUAACGGCUCACCUAGGCGACGAUCCCUAGCUGGUCUGAGAGGAUGACCAGCCACACUGGAACUGAGACACGGUCCAGACUCCUACGGGAGGCAGCAGUGGGGAAUAUUGCACAAUGGGCGCAAGCCUGAUGCAGCCAUGCCGCGUGUAUGAAGAAGGCCUUCGGGUUGUAAAGUACUUUCAGCGGGGAGGAAGGGAGUAAAGUUAAUACCUUUGCUCAUUGACGUUACCCGCAGAAGAAGCACCGGCUAACUCCGUGCCAGCAGCCGCGGUAAUACGGAGGGUGCAAGCGUUAAUCGGAAUUACUGGGCGUAAAGCGCACGCAGGCGGUUUGUUAAGUCAGAUGUGAAAUCCCCGGGCUCAACCUGGGAACUGCAUCUGAUACUGGCAAGCUUGAGUCUCGUAGAGGGGGGUAGAAUUCCAGGUGUAGCGGUGAAAUGCGUAGAGAUCUGGAGGAAUACCGGUGGCGAAGGCGGCCCCCUGGACGAAGACUGAC